RNAcentral lists this small RNA (1172 nucleotides) under Cryptococcus neoformans H99. RNAcentral describes it as "Cryptococcus neoformans var. grubii H99 hypothetical RNA". Lineage: Eukaryota; Fungi; Basidiomycota; Tremellomycetes; Tremellales; Cryptococcaceae. The record is from RNAcentral.
GUUUUCCUGGUCAUGCGGAACUGCUACUAGAAGAAUCAAACCAAAAAUGAAAGGAAAGUUGUCCUUUCCCUUUCACAUUCAGUUCCCCAGUCAGUGAGUAGGGUUGAGCGAUGGUAAAUGAAGAGUUCCUGUUAGUAUGGGGAGCGGAGAUGGGAUCAGUCUCCCCCAAGGGAAAUAAAUUCAUAAAGGAAGGAAUUUGCCCAAUCGGAGAUCCAAAAGAACAUACAGUAUUGCGCAUCUAGCUUGUUUAAUGCCCAGCACGGUUGUCAGGCGUCCUUAAGACAGAGAAGAUAAAGGACUUGCUCCGUGCAAAGGCAUAUCUGGAAACCUAUCUCAUCAGUUGAACCAUCUGAUCACCACGGAAAAAAAUGAGUCACUCUGGGUGUAGCAUCAAAGCUCACCCAAAGUAACCCACUGGCUAUCACGUCGUUCAUCUAGUGCCGGCCCAAAUACAAGUAAUAGCUCCAACGCUUGGAUACCAUUCCAUGGAACCAGACACGGCACUCAGUAACGUUCAAUGGCAUAAAAAUAAACAAAAUACAAAAAGGAACAUAGUAAAAGGUAGUCGGAAAUCGCAAAUACUAACACACAAAAGGCAAGAGGAAAAUCGAAGUGGCAACAACACCAUUGAAUAAAGUUACAGCGACGAGUGAUUGUCGAGCAAGGUUAACACCCAGGCCGAUGUAUGUCGAAAGGUGGAUAGGUUGAAAUUGUUAAGCGAGAAUUUCUCGGACAGGUAUCUCCUCAAUACGCGGUUUCCCGUUGAUAAUGUCAUGGCGUUCUGGCUUCUCAGUGAUCAUCUCUCGUUCGAGAAUCACCCACAAGAAAGCGAGAUCAAAGGAAAAUAAGGCCAGUCCCCAGUCCCCGACUCACAUAUUUCCAGCCAAGGGUGGUAUGGCACACCCGACAGUAGACAUCUCUCACGGUGUGCCUUCCAGUGCGCAUUUCUCUGUCUUCGGCCUCACCGCUGUAUGUGUUUACUCUGGUUGUGAUCAGCGACGGCGGGAUGACAGGAGGCAGCGGAAGCUGUCUCAUGACCUACACUGUGUGGACUAGGAUAGCCCGACCAUGCUGGCCAGUGAAUUGCUACCACACAUGGAGCAUAAGCCUGUAUUCUAUGCCAGACCCAUCGAAGCCGACGUAAAGAAGACCAUGCACGGGUUUGCCACCCG